AUGGCACCGCCGGCGUCGUACAUCGUCAACGAGAUCCUGGAGGAGAUCUUCCUUCGCCUACCCACCCCGGCCGCGCUCGUCCGCGCCUCAACCGCCAGCCCCCGUUUCCGCCGCAUCAUCACGGGGCGCUCCUUCCUCCGCCGCUUCCGCGCUCUCCAUCCGCCUCCACUCGUGGGAUUCGCCCUUGACAAACAUGGCUUCCACCACGCCCAAGAACCCCAUCCCUCCGCCCCGCUUGCCCGCGCCCUUGCCGACCGCGCAGAUUUCACCUACUCCUUCGUCCCCAAGCCCAAUGAUGAUUGGCUCAGCGGCCUCAGCCCCUGGUGCCACCGCGACGUUCGCGACGGCCGCGUCCUCCUCGAGUGCAGCUACCUGUGGGACAUCGAGCCAGUCUUUACACACCUGGCGGUGUGCGAUCCCUGGUCACGGAGAUCCACGCUGCUCUUUCCCAUACCAGAGGAGAUGACCGUCCAGCAAGAGCGCCUUAUCGAGUUCGAGCCAAUGCUUGCUCCCAUUGGCGAGGAUGAGGAUGAGAAUGAGGAUGAGACCUCGUUCAAGGUGAUCUGCACGGCGCGCUACGAAACCAAGCUGGUCACGUUUGUGUACUCUUCCGUAGCCGUUGAAUGGUGUAUAGCUGCAUCUCCCAGCUGGAACUCUUUGGGCACAGAUGAGCCCCCUCGGAAAGGCUUUUCGCAUUUCAACUAUUUGCGUGGCUGCUUCUACUGGAGCUCUCUUUGGAAAGACAAGCUUCUCGUGCUGGACACACGCACGAUGGAGUUCUCCACUGCCAACAUUCUCACCGGCUACCAUGUGCAGCUUAUAAACCAGCCUGGACAGAGUGUGUGCAUGUCUACCAUUGUUGAUGGUACAAAAGGAGCACUUGAGAUGUUUACUCUUGUUGGUCAUUGCAAGCCUACCUCGUUUUAUAUUUAUCAUACAAGUCAGCAAAACAACGGCGGACCUUCCAAAGAGUGGCAGCUGAAAAAUGUUAUAGCAUUGCCUCCCCGAUGUCUCUAUUAUACCGUGGGUGCAACUGAGGGAUUCUUAUUCCUUCGAGGUGUUCGAGAAGCUCGGUGGGAUGACAAUAGACAUGGAGUCUUUCCUGUGGAUAAUGAUGUCGAUUUUUUCUCUCUGGAUGUCAAGACUUCAGAACUUAAGAAGGUCUGCAGCUGCAGGGCAACAAUCUUUGAUCGUCCCAAUCGUGCUCACCCAUUAUUUGGCUUCCCGCCAUCAUUGUCGAAACCGAGCCUAUGA
This 1254-nucleotide ribosomal RNA is filed under the name Triticum aestivum (bread wheat). Its description in RNAcentral is "partial small subunit ribosomal RNA". The record is from RNAcentral. Lineage: Eukaryota; Viridiplantae; Streptophyta; Magnoliopsida; Poales; Poaceae.